Molecule: ribosomal RNA, 1386 nt
Filed under: uncultured bacterium
Lineage: Bacteria
Description: 16S ribosomal RNA
Rfam family: Bacterial small subunit ribosomal RNA
Source: RNAcentral
AGAGUUUGAUCCUGGCUCAGGAUGAACGCUGGCGGCGUGCCUAAUACAUGCAAGUCGAACGCGGGCACUUGUGCCCGAGUGGCGAACGGGUGAGUAAUACAUAAGUAACCUGGCCUUUACAGGGGGAUAACUGCUGGAAACGGCAGCUAAGACCGCAUAGGUAGGGACACUGCAUGGUGACCGUAUUAAAAGUGCUGCAAGGCACUGGUAGAGGAUGGACUUAUGGCGCAUUAGCUGGUUGGUGAGGUAACGGCUCACCAAGGCGACGAUGCGUAGCCGACCUGAGAGGGUGACCGGCCACACUGGGACUGAGACACGGCCCAGACUCCUACGGGAGGCAGCAGUAGGGAAUUUUCGGCAAUGGGGGGAACCCUGACCGAGCAACGCCGCGUGAAGGAAGAAGGAAUUCGUUCUGUAAACUUCUGUUAUAAAGGAAGAAAGACGGAUGGAGGAAAUGACAUCCGAGUGACGGUACUUUAUGAGAAAGCCACGGCUAACUACGUGCCAGCAGCCGCGGUAAUACGUAGGUGGCAAGCGUUAUCCGGAAUUAUUGGGCGUAAAGAGGGAGCAGGCGGCGGCAAAGGUCUGUGGUGAAAGACUGAAGCUUAACUUCAGUAAGCCAUAGAAACCGGGCAGCUAGAGUGCAGGAGAGGAUCGUGGAAUUCCAUGUGUAGCGGUGAAAUGCGUAGAUAUAUGGAGGAACACCAGUGGCGAAGGCGACGAUCUGGCCUGCAACUGACGCUCAGUCCCGAAAGCGUGGGGAGCAAAUAGGAUUAGAUACCCUAGUAGUCCACGCCGUAAACGAUGAGUACUAAGUGUUGGAAGUCAAAUUUCAGUGCUGCAGUUAACGCAGUAAGUACUCCGCCUGAGUAGUACGUUCGCAAGAAUGAAACUCAAAGGAAUUGACGGGGGCCCGCACAAGCGGUGGAGCAUGUGGUUUAAUUCGAAGCAACGCGAAGAACCUUACCAGGUCUUGACAUACUCAUAAAGGAUCCAGAGAUGGAUAGAUAGUUAUAUGAGAUACAGGUGGUGCAUGGUUGUCGUCAGCUCGUGUCGUGAGAUGUUGGGUUAAGUCCCGCAACGAGCGCAACCCUUGUCGUUAGUUACCAUCAUUAAGUUGGGGACUCUAGCGAGACUGCCAGUGACAAGCUGGAGGAAGGCGGGGAUGACGUCAAAUCAUCAUGCCCCUUAUGACCUGGGCUACACACGUGCUACAAUGGAUGGUGCAGAGGGAAGCGAAGCCGCGAGGCGAAGCAAAACCCAUAAAACCAUUCUCAGUUCGGAUUGUAGUCUGCAACUCGACUACAUGAAGUUGGAAUCGCUAGUAAUCGCGAAUCAGCAUGUCGCGGUGAAUACGUUCUCGGGCCUUGCACUCACCGCCCGUCA